This 1972-nucleotide ribosomal RNA is filed under the name Klebsiella pneumoniae. RNAcentral's name for it is "partial 23S ribosomal RNA". It matches the Rfam family "Bacterial large subunit ribosomal RNA", at positions 890 to 2839 of the family's 2925-position model. The record is from RNAcentral. Lineage: Bacteria; Pseudomonadati; Pseudomonadota; Gammaproteobacteria; Enterobacterales; Enterobacteriaceae.
UCAUCUUCGGGGGUAGAGCACUGUUUCGGCUAGGGGGUCAUCCCGACUUACCAACCCGAUGCAAACUACGAAUACCGAAGAAUGUUAUCACGGGAGACACACGGCGGGUGCUAACGUCCGUCGUGAAGAGGGAAACAACCCAGACCGCCAGCUAAGGUCCCAAAGUCAUGGUUAAGUGGGAAACGAUGUGGGAAGGCACAGACAGCCAGGAUGUUGGCUUAGAAGCAGCCAUCAUUUAAAGAAAGCGUAAUAGCUCACUGGUCGAGUCGGCCUGCGCGGAAGAUGUAACGGGGCUAAACCAUGCACCGAAGCUGCGGCAGCGACACUAUGUGUUGUUGGGUAGGGGAGCGUUCUGUAAGCCUGCGAAGGUGUGCUGUGAGGCAUGCUGGAGGUAUCAGAAGUGCGAAUGCUGACAUAAGUAACGAUAAAGCGGGUGAAAAGCCCGCUCGCCGGAAGACCAAGGGUUCCUGUCCAACGUUAAUCGGGGCAGGGUGAGUCGACCCCUAAGGCGAGGCCGAAAGGCGUAGUCGAUGGGAAACAGGUUAAUAUUCCUGUACUUGGUGUUACUGCGAAGGGGGGACGGAGAAGGCUAUGUUAGCCGGGCGACGGUUGUCCCGGUUUAAGCAUGUAGGCUGGUUGUCCAGGCAAAUCCGGAUAAUCAAGGCUGAGGUGUGAUGACGAGGCACUACGGUGCUGAAGUAACAAAUGCCCUGCUUCCAGGAAAAGCCUCUAAGCAUCAGGUAACAUCAAAUCGUACCCCAAACCGACACAGGUGGUCAGGUAGAGAAUACCAAGGCGCUUGAGAGAACUCGGGUGAAGGAACUAGGCAAAAUGGUGCCGUAACUUCGGGAGAAGGCACGCUGGUGUGUAGGUGAAGUCCCUGCGGAUGGAGCUGAGACCAGUCGAAGAUACCAGCUGGCUGCAACUGUUUAUUAAAAACACAGCACUGUGCAAACACGAAAGUGGACGUAUACGGUGUGACGCCUGCCCGGUGCCGGAAGGUUAAUUGAUGGGGUUAUCCGUAAGGAGAAGCUCUUGAUCGAAGCCCCGGUAAACGGCGGCCGUAACUAUAACGGUCCUAAGGUAGCGAAAUUCCUUGUCGGGUAAGUUCCGACCUGCACGAAUGGCGUAAUGAUGGCCAGGCUGUCUCCACCCGAGACUCAGUGAAAUUGAACUCGCUGUGAAGAUGCAGUGUACCCGCGGCAAGACGGAAAGACCCCGUGAACCUUUACUAUAGCUUGACACUGAACAUUGAGCCUUGAUGUGUAGGAUAGGUGGGAGGCUUUGAAGCGUGGACGCCAGUCUGCGUGGAGCCAACCUUGAAAUACCACCCUUUAAUGUUUGAUGUUCUAACGUUGGCCCCUUACCGGGGUUGCGGACAGUGUCUGGUGGGUAGUUUGACUGGGGCGGUCUCCUCCCAAAGCGUAACGGAGGAGCACGAAGGUUAGCUAAUCCUGGUCGGACAUCAGGAGGUUAGUGCAAUGGCAUAAGCUAGCUUGACUGCGAGCGUGACGGCGCGAGCAGGUGCGAAAGCAGGUCAUAGUGAUCCGGUGGUUCUGAAUGGAAGGGCCAUCGCUCAACGGAUAAAAGGUACUCCGGGGAUAACAGGCUGAUACCGCCCAAGAGUUCAUAUCGACGGCGGUGUUUGGCACCUCGAUGUCGGCUCAUCACAUCCUGGGGCUGAAGUAGGUCCCAAGGGUAUGGCUGUUCGCCAUUUAAAGUGGUACGCGAGCUGGGUUUAGAACGUCGUGAGACAGUUCGGUCCCUAUCUGCCGUGGGCGCUGGAGAAUUGAGGGGGGCUGCUCCUAGUACGAGAGGACCGGAGUGGACGCAUCACUGGUGUUCGGGUUGUCAUGCCAAUGGCACUGCCCGGUAGCUAAAUGCGGAAGAGAUAAGUGCUGAAAGCAUCUAAGCACGAAACUUGCCCCGAGAUGAGUUCUCCCUGAGACUUUAAGUCUCCUGAAGGAACGUU